Molecule: non-coding RNA, 112 nt
Organism: Acanthosepion pharaonis
Lineage: Eukaryota; Metazoa; Mollusca; Cephalopoda; Sepiida; Sepiidae
Source: the annotation of a GenBank genome assembly
ACAGUCACAUCAUGUUGAAACACCGGUUCCCAUAUGAUCAUCAAAGUUAAGCAACAUCAAGCUUGAUCAGGACCUAGAUGGGUGACUGCUUGAGAAUAGCAGGUGCUGUAAG